This is a non-coding RNA of Pelobates cultripes (western spadefoot toad), 626 nucleotides long. Lineage: Eukaryota; Metazoa; Chordata; Amphibia; Anura; Pelobatidae. The record is from the annotation of a GenBank genome assembly.
GUCAAUAUCUGCAGACAGAGCAAAGCUUCAAUCUUUAAAAUAACAAACUGCACAUGGGCUCAGCAAGGGGCUCCAGGACCCAUAGUGUCACAUUUACAGAGUGAGGUACUGGGGAGAGUGGGACACAGGUUAUAGCAUUGCUAGCUAGCAAAGUAUAGAAUGGAUAGAGUAAAGGUAGAUACUGGGUGGGUCCCAAGUUAUAGCAUUGCUGGCUGUCAGUGUAUAGAGUAAGGGUAGAUACUGGAGAGAGUGUGUCCCAGGUUAUAGCAUUGCUGGCUGUUAGUGUAUAGAAUGGAUAGAGUAAGGGUAGUUACUGGGCAGAGUGUGUCCCAGGUUAUAGCAUUGCUGGCUGUCAGUGUAUAGAAUGGAUAGAGUAAGGGUAGAUACUGGGCAGAGUGUGUCCCAGGUUAUAGCAUUGCUGGCUGUCAGUGAAUAGAGUAAGGGUAGAUACUGGGCAGAGUGUGUCCCAGGUUAUAGCAUUGCUAGCUAGCAGAAUAUAGAAUGUAUAGAGUAAAGGUAGAUACUGGAGAGAGUGUGUCCCAGGUUAUAGCAUUGCUAGCUAGCAGAAUAUAGAAUGUAUAGAGUAAAGGUAGAUACUGGAGAGAGUGUGUCCCAGGUUAUAGCAU